AAAAUCUCGGUAGUCAAAGAUCCCCAUUCCAUACCACGUAGGCAAUUAAAGAAUGCAGAAAUGGAGAAUAUGGAAAAGCCGGGAAGGGCAUUCCAUGCAUUCUAAGGCUAAAAAUGAUGUGGUUACGCCAACAAAGAAAUGUAUCGUUUUAUCUCGAUGAAUAAUACAAAGGAGAAGAGAAUUCUAAGAAUGUGUAAAGAAACACAGAUUCUCACGUGGAAUGAAGAAAUUAAGCGAUGGAAGAGUACAAUACAAACCCAGAAAAAUUGAGGACGGAAGGAGAGCGAGAGAAGGAGAGAAGUUCCAUGGGCAGCUCAAAGAAUUGUGAAAAGGGAAAUUGAAUGGAGAAGUGGAAGGAAG
Molecule: long non-coding RNA, 360 nt
Filed under: Cucumis sativus (cucumber)
Lineage: Eukaryota; Viridiplantae; Streptophyta; Magnoliopsida; Cucurbitales; Cucurbitaceae
Description: long non-coding RNA (CSAT_LNC002810)
Source: RNAcentral